UGCAGGAAGACUGCCCUAUGGGUUGUAAACUGCUUUUAUACGGGAAGAAACCGCUCUACGUGUAGAGUCUUGACGGUACCGUAAGAAUAAGGAUCGGCUAACUCCGUGCCAGCAGC
Molecule: ribosomal RNA, 116 nt
Filed under: uncultured Tamlana sp.
Lineage: Bacteria; Pseudomonadati; Bacteroidota; Flavobacteriia; Flavobacteriales; Flavobacteriaceae
Description: partial 16S ribosomal RNA
Rfam family: Bacterial small subunit ribosomal RNA
Source: RNAcentral